RNAcentral lists this ribosomal RNA (492 nucleotides) under uncultured bacterium. RNAcentral's name for it is "partial 16S ribosomal RNA". It matches the Rfam family "Bacterial small subunit ribosomal RNA", at positions 28 to 507 of the family's 1533-position model. The record is from RNAcentral.
GAUGAACGCUAGCUACAGGCUUAACACAUGCAAGUCGGGGGGAAACGACAUCGAAAGCUUGCUUUUGAUGGGCGUCGACCGGCGCACGGGUGAGUAACGCGUAUCCAACCUGCCCAUCACUUGGGGAUAACCUUGCGAAAGUAAGACUAAUACCCAAUGAUAUCUCUAGAAGACAUCUGAAAGAGAUUAAAGAUUUAUCGGUGAUGGAUGGGGAUGCGUCUGAUUAGCUUGUUGGCGGGGUAACGGCCCACCAAGGCAACGAUCAGUAGGGGUUCUGAGAGGAAGGUCCCCCACAUUGGAACUGAGACACGGUCCAAACUCCUACGGGAGGCAGCAGUGAGGAAUAUUGGUCAAUGGGCGAGAGCCUGAACCAGCCAAGUAGCGUGCAGGAAGACGGCCCUAUGGGUUGUAAACUGCUUUUAUAAGGGAAUAAAGUGAGAGUCGUGACUCUUUUUGUAUGUACCUUAUGAAUAAGGACCGGCUAAUUCCGUG